This 465-nucleotide ribosomal RNA is filed under the name uncultured bacterium. RNAcentral's name for it is "partial 16S ribosomal RNA". It matches the Rfam family "Bacterial small subunit ribosomal RNA", at positions 28 to 507 of the family's 1533-position model. The record is from RNAcentral.
GACGAACGCUGGCGGCGUGCUUAACACAUGCAAGUCGAACGGAAAGGCCCCCUUGUGGGGUACUCGAGUGGCGAACGGGUGAGUAACACGUGAGUAACCUACCCUUGACUUUGGGAUAACUUCAGGAAACUGGGGCUAAUACCGGAUAGGAGCUCCUGCUGCAUGGUGGGGGUUGGAAAGUUUCGGCGGUUGGGGAUGGACUCGCGGCUUAUCAGCUUGUUGGUGGGGUAGUGGCUCACCAAGGCUUUGACGGGUAGCCGGCCUGAGAGGGUGACCGGCCACAUUGGGACUGAGAUACGGCCCAGACUCCUACGGGAGGCAGCAGUGGGGAAUAUUGCACAAUGGGAGGAAGCCUGAUGCAGCAACGCCGCGUGCGGGAUGACGGCCUUCGGGUUGUAAACCGCUUUCGCCUGUGACGAAGCGUGAGUGACGGUAAUGGGUAAAGAAGCACCGGCUAACUACGAG